CCUACGGGAGGCAGCAGUCGAGAAUCAUUCACAAUGGGGGAAACCCUGAUGGUGCGACGCCGCGUGGGGGAAUGAAGGUCUUCGGAUUGUAAACCCCUGUCAUGUGGGAGCAAAUUAAAAAGAUAGUACCACAAGAGGAAGAGACGGCUAACUCUGUGCCAGCAGCCGCGGUAAUACAGAGGUCUCAAGCGUUGUUCGGAAUCACUGGGCGUAAGGCGUGCGUAGGCUGUUUCGUAAGUCGUGUGUGAAAGGCGCGGGCUCAACCCGCGGACGGCACAUGAUACUGCGAGACUAGAGUAAUGGAAGGGGAACCGGAAUUCUCGGUGUAGCAGUGAAAUGCGUAGAUAUGGAGAGGAACACUCGUGGCGAAGGCGGGUUCCUGGACAUUAACUGACGCUGAGGCACGAAGGCCAGGGGAGCGAAAGGGAUUAGAUACCCGUGUAGUC
RNAcentral lists this ribosomal RNA (446 nucleotides) under uncultured bacterium. RNAcentral describes it as "partial 16S ribosomal RNA". It matches the Rfam family "Bacterial small subunit ribosomal RNA", at positions 338 to 795 of the family's 1533-position model. The record is from RNAcentral.